AAAAGCUCGUUGGCAUGCUGCCAUUUUAUCGCGCUCCACUGUGCACGUUCAUAUGCAAAACGUGUGGAAAUGAAAAAAAUAAAAACAAUUAAGCUGGGUUCCAUCACAGUUUCUUUAAAUUAAAAAAUAUAUAUAUUUGUCCAGGUUCACAUUUCUAUUUUGUUUCCUUGCAUCUUUUAAACUUGUCUGUCGAAUAAGGAUUACAAGCUAGCCUUAAUAAAUUUUUUAA
Gambusia affinis (western mosquitofish) is the source of this 229-nucleotide long non-coding RNA. RefSeq lists it as uncharacterized. The transcript is spliced from 2 exons. NCBI's taxonomy places the organism in Eukaryota, Metazoa, Chordata, Actinopteri, Cyprinodontiformes, Poeciliidae. The record is from RefSeq and is a predicted model, not a curated record.